AACGACCGAGCUCAGCGCGCACAUUGUUCCACCUGGGGGCUUGGUUUUAUUCCGUUCUUCUUCAGCUUUGCAGUUGAAAUAUGCAACAAAUUGCCCAACUUGAAAAAAUAUAAAACUAUGAACAGUUGAAACAAGUAAUAUUUAGAAGGAUUGCUCUUGAAGAUUGGCAAGUGAAGUGCUCUAUUCUGUUGCAACUUGUUUUUCUUUUGAAGUGAGGGUUAGAAUACCUUCCUAGCAGGGGUUUGCCCUCCCAAGGGGGGUUUGGACAGUGUUAUGGCAGAGCCGUGCUGCUGCAGUAUCUUGUCUCAUUUGUUAGCAAUAGCUUGUCAACCUGUUACUGGUUCCCUUUGGAAGUAGAUCCUCCAGUAAUGCUUCGUUUCAGUGGUUGGGCUGGAUGAUCUUAGAGGUCCUUUCCAACCUUAAAGAUUCUUCUGAAGCGUCUAUCUGCUCCUCGUCCUGCAGCUUCUCAGCCGCAGAUUUCAUCUGACAGGAUGCAUUGUGGUCAGCUGGAAAGAACUUCUGUGGCACGGUAAAAAUAGCAUGAAAUACAUUCAGUAGCAAAGCAGUUGGAAUCCAGGAGAAGUGGAGAGCCCUGUAUUCCUGGAGGAUUAACCUUAAUUGUGAGAAAACAGUCUCCACGUAUAAACAUCACUCUUCCAAAUGCCACUGCUACAAACACUAAGUGGGAUGUACAGAUGGAAGAUGAAAGUCAUUUACUGCCUUUGUAUCAUUACCAAAAGUGGAUAGUUCAGCCGUUCAUUGCCUUCUGAAACUUCUUUUGAGAGGUACAAGGUAAGCCAGUUUCUAUCUGACAGAGCUAUGAAAUCAUCCUGGCUAGCAGGUAGCAAACGUGAUUUUGUCACAGGAACUCAACUUCUAAAGACAGAGAGCUGAGAAAGAUGAUGUUCUGUCAAACCUAGUUUCAUGAAACACAGAAGCUUACUUAAUUCCCUUUUGAUAAACUGUGAGAGCACCACUCCCAUUUCCCCCUCAUCCACUCACUCUCAAUGGACCCGCUGACAUGACUUCAUGUACUGACUUGUCAAAGGACUAAAGGGCAGAAAAAUAUCCACACACACAAUAUUUUAAGAUUCAUCUGCAGUAAGUGCCAUACCAAGGACAGGGACACGACUGUACAACAGGGAGUUGGGGGGCAAGGUCUCCGAGCAGCAGUCAGCUGUUACGUGAGCACGGCUGCUCAGGGAAUUACAGUCUUAACCGUUUUUUCUUGAUUCUGAUGGCAUUUUUCCAAUCAAGGCUUUAAAUCAGACUGAAGGUAAAUGUAAGAUCUACUUAAGAAAUGUGGACACUUGUCAAACCAUCAGUGUCACUCAUCAGCACAGUACUCUCAAACGUGAUCAGUGAACGCUCGCCAGGUGUUCUCAAGUGUCACUUCCAAUUUUUUACGCCGUUGAUACCAAGUGUGGAAUGGUACUGAUAAGUGAAUGAAUAAUGCUAGGUUAAGACAGUCCACACAAUGGAAACAUCUAUGUAAAUAUUAGCAUGAAAGUGUAUUUUUCUCCUAUUUGCAAAAGAGAUCCCUUCUGCUUUCUCCCUCUUUAUUCUCCCUUCCGCCCCCCAGUCUUAAGGUUUCCAGAUGAUCACUUGCAGGUACUUUUAAAAAUGCUAACAUUCUUUAACUCCUAACUCUUAGAAGAGAGAAUUCAUUCGCAGGAUCUCUGUGUCAGGACUAUGAUUAUAAUCUGAUCUCUGCUUCAAACAGGUGACUAUCCUUCUGAAUCAUUCCUUUGGCACAGAUAAACAUUAAAUUUGUACUACUCUGUUUGAAGUAAUUCACAAUUUUGCUUGACAACAAAGCACAGGAUGAGUAUCAUUAAAUUUUAUUAUACAAAACUGACAAGAUAUGGCAUUCCUUCAAAUUAAUAAAAACAACAACCAAGUCAAAACAAAACUGCUAUACCUGCAACAGUGUUGUUAAUGGAACAAUUACUACACAACCUUUUGUUCAGCAGCAAUAUUUACCUGCAAGACCAUUUUAUAGACGUGAGAGGUAUGAUUAAAAAAAUAUUCCAUCAGUUCAAGCAAUAGUUUAAUUUUCCAUGAAAUAAGUCUUUCUAUAAACACUUUAUGUUCAGUCAAAACAAACACUUUCGAGUUUUCUUACCUUAGACAACAUAUAAAACAACCAGACAGGUUUGGGAAUCAUCAGAGAAGUCUAUCCCAUGGGAGAAGUCUAAGUUCUGUAUUUCACUUGAAAAUGUCUGUCUUUAUAAAAUAAGUACUAUCAAUAGCAUUUCCUGGCCAAAGAUUUAUAGCAAAAAAAAAAAAAAAAAUUCUGCUUCUGUGAUGUUUUAUUCGUCAGUGCAGCAAAAAGUCUUUUGGGUUUGUAUUUGGUACCUCAUUUCUGUGUCAAAUUCAGAACUUGCAAAACAGACCCAGGGAAAGGUUUCUGUUAAUUGUAUUCAUAAAAGCUCUGCUUCAUUGCACAGGAUUUACAAAAGGACAGAACUAAGUCUUUCCUCUGCUUCUCUGCUCAACAAAUACAUUUCCAACAGUUUUCCCUUUCUCCCAGUGGAAGGAAUGACUUCUUGGAGUUCUUACUAUAAACAUGAAAUAAAAAAGGGGAACUAGGUAACUUUGUUAAGCUCCAGUUCAGCUGUAAAUCACCUUUAAACAACAGUGCUACUCAGUGCUACGAACAACUGCACAACUUGCAUUUCUGAAGAAAAAAACAACCCAAACAAGGAUGAAAUUCUCGGGGAAGCUCACGAACAAUUGUGCCAAGAGAGCACAAGGCAUCUCUGCCUAAGCUUUACAAAAAGUGCUUCUCUGCAGGACGCAGUCACUGCGAUAAACUUCUGAGAUGGUCCCAGGGCAUAAGUUAUCCUAGACUCGCACACACACUGGUACUUGUUACACUGUGCUUUCUGGGAAGAGAUGAUGCUGCAGCACUUUACAUUUGACAUUCUCUCUCCUCCUCUUCCAGAAGAAAAAACCUUCUAUGCAAGAUAAAAAUAAUUCUGAAUCAUUAGUCAUGUAUUAAAGAGCUAGUUUUGAAUUAUUUAUUCAUCUAGUCAUAUAAAAUAAAGUGUAAAAGUAUGAAGGUAUCAGAACGUGGCUUUCAGCAAGGCAGUUUGGGAAGUAGGAAUUCAACGUAAAACAAUAUAUUUUUACCCUCUUUGAAAAGGGUCACAUCAGAAUGAAUGAAAAACACUGAAGAAUUUCACUUCAAGCCUGCACGCCUGCCUUUUGUCCUUUACCAGAGAAGAGAGACCACUGGAAGACUCCCCCAGGGUUUCAGUUGUGUUGUUCUUUGUGCUCUUGUGUUAGGUCUGGCUGGAACUAUGUGCUGCCCUCUCUGGGUGGCAGGGACGGCUGGGGCUGCUGCGGUGGCUGUGUGCCUGUGGCAGUUUUGAUAGAGUUCAGGGUUUUGCUAAACCAAGAGUUUUUGGCAGCUUGGAUUUCAUUCAUAAGGGCUCCCCUCUGGUGCUCCAGCUCCUAAGAAAGCAGAACGGUCAGAAGUGAUCAAAAAGAAUUUAAAAAAAGAAAAAAUAAAAGUCUUCAAACUCAGUCUUCUAACUUUCUUUGCAGCCUCCCAGGCACUGGGGAGAAAGGACGCAUUAAAACCACCAGAACAGCAGAUGAUGUUUAGAUAUACAAAUGAGAAUCCUUAUUUCUGUCUUUUUAAGGACAGACAGAGGAUUCUGGAAGUUCACACGCAUACAGCAGUACAAGUAUAUGCCUUUUUUUUUG
Centrocercus urophasianus (Greater sage-grouse) is the source of this 3714-nucleotide long non-coding RNA. RefSeq lists it as uncharacterized. The transcript has 3 exons. The record is from RefSeq and is a predicted model, not a curated record. Lineage: Eukaryota; Metazoa; Chordata; Aves; Galliformes; Phasianidae.